ACGCCGUAAACGAUGUCGACUUGGAGGUUGUGCCCUUGAGGCGUGGCUUCCGGAGCUAACGCGUUAAGUCGACCGCCUGGGGAGUACGGCCGCAAGGUUAAAACUCAAAUGAAUUGACGGGGGCCCGCACAAGCGGUGGAGCAUGUGGUUUAAUUCGAUGCAACGCGAAGAACCUUACCUGGUCUUGACAUCCACGGAAGUUUUCAGAGAUGAGAAUGUGCCUUCGGGAACCGUGAGACAGGUGCUGCAUGGCUGUCGUCAGCUCGUGUUGUGAAAUGUUGGGUUAAGUCCCGCAACGAGCGCAACCCUUAUCCUUUGUUGCCAGCGGUCCGGCCGGGAACUCAAAGGAGACUGCCAGUGAUAAACUGGAGGAAGGUGGGGAUGACGUCAAGUCAUCAUGGCCCUUACGACCAGGGCUACACACGUGCUACAAUGGCGCAUACAAAGAGAAGCGACCUCGCGAGAGCAAGCGGACCUCAUAAAGUGCGUCGUAGUCCGGAUUGGAGUCUGCAACUCGACUCCAUGAAGUCGGAAUCGCUAGUAAUCGUGGAUCAGAAUGCCACGGUGAAUACGUUCCCGGGCCUUGUACACACCGCCCGUCACACCAUGGGAGUGGGUUGCAAAAGAAGUAGGUAGCUUAACCUUCGGGAGGGCGCUUACCACUUUGUGAUUCAUGACUGGGGUGAAGUCGUAACAAGGUAACCGUAGGGGAACCUGCGGUUG
This 723-nucleotide ribosomal RNA is filed under the name Escherichia coli. RNAcentral's name for it is "bacterial SSU rRNA". It matches the Rfam family "Bacterial small subunit ribosomal RNA", at positions 797 to 1520 of the family's 1533-position model. The record is from RNAcentral. Lineage: Bacteria; Pseudomonadati; Pseudomonadota; Gammaproteobacteria; Enterobacterales; Enterobacteriaceae.